GAGUCAACGUAUGAAUAAUACGUGGCGAACGGCUCAGUAACACGUAGUCAACAUGCCCAAAGGACGUGGAUAACCUCGGGAAACUGAGGAUAAACCGCGAUAGGUCAUAAGUACUGGAAUGUUUUAUGGCUCAAAUCUACAUGGCCUCUGGAUUGGACUGCGGCCGAUCAGGCUGUUGGUGAGGUAAUGGCCCACCAAACCUGUUACCGGUACGGGCUCUGAGAGGAGGAGCCCGGAGAUGGGCACUGAGACAAGGGCCCAGGCCCUAUGGGGCGCAGCAGGCGCGAAACCUCUGCAAUAGGCGAAAGCUUGACAGGGUUACUCUGAGUGAUUCCCGCUAAGGGAAUCUUUUGGCAUCUCUAAAAACGAUGCAGAAUAAGGGGUGGGCAAGUCUGGUGUCAGCCGCCGCGGUAAUACCAGCACCCCGAGUGGUCGGGACGAUUAUUGGGCCUAAAGCAUCCGUAGCCGGUCUUGCAAGUCUUCCGUUAAAUCCACCUGCUUAACAGAUGGGCUGCGGAAGAUACUACAAGACUAGGAGGCGGGAGAGGCAAGCGGUACUCAGUGGGUAGGGGUAAAAUCCUCUGAUCCAUUGAAGACCACCAGUGGCGAAGGCGGCUUGCCAGAACGCGCUCGACGGUGAGGGAUGAAAGCUGGGGGAGCAAACCGGAUUAGAUACCCGGGUAGUCCCAGCUGUAAACGAUGCAGACUCGGUGAUGGGCCGGCUUCAUGCCGGCUCAGUGCCGCAGGGAAGCCGUUAAGUCUGCCGCCUGGGGAGUACGGUCGCAAGACUGAA
RNAcentral lists this ribosomal RNA (793 nucleotides) under uncultured archaeon. Its description in RNAcentral is "bacterial SSU rRNA". It matches the Rfam family "Archaeal small subunit ribosomal RNA", at positions 55 to 853 of the family's 1478-position model. The record is from RNAcentral.